AGGUCCAGAAAGUGCCUACUCACCUUGUGGCCAGCCUGUCACAUUAAAGACUACAGCUUGCCUGAUCUGCUCAUACCAGGAUCAGCCAGGCUGUGAUGAAAAUGCCAGGAGCAAGGAGGUUCUCCUCAUCUUUCUGUCUCUUUGUCCUGCGCCCACUUGUACUAGAGCCCACAUCGUCACCUUGCCUCUGCCCUUCACACGUCUAUCUAGAUGAGCCCAUCUGGAUGGAAAGAAUGGAUGCCCUAUUCUUUCAGUAACCGCUGAGGUUU
This is a long non-coding RNA of Mustela erminea (ermine), 269 nucleotides long. RefSeq lists it as uncharacterized. Lineage: Eukaryota; Metazoa; Chordata; Mammalia; Carnivora; Mustelidae. The transcript is spliced from 3 exons. The record is from RefSeq and is a predicted model, not a curated record.